This 460-nucleotide ribosomal RNA is filed under the name uncultured bacterium. RNAcentral's name for it is "partial 16S ribosomal RNA". It matches the Rfam family "Bacterial small subunit ribosomal RNA", at positions 338 to 795 of the family's 1533-position model. The record is from RNAcentral.
CCUACGGGUGGCAGCAGUGAGGAAUAUUGGUCAAUGGACGCAAGUCUGAACCAGCCAUGCCGCGUGCAGGAAGACGGCUCUCUGAGUUGUAAACUGCUUUUGUACGAGGGUAAACGCAGAUACGCGUAUCUUUCUGAAAGUAUCGUACGAAUAAGGAUCGGCUAACUCCGUGCCAGCAGCCGCGGUAAUACGGAGGAUUCAAGCGUUAUCCGGAUUUAUUGGGUUUAAAGGGUGCGUAGGCGGUCGGAUAAGUAUGAGGUGAAAUCCCGAGGCUCAACUUCGGAAUUGCCUGUGAUACUGUGCGGCUAGAGAGUAGUAGCGGUAGGCGGAAUGUAUGGUGUAGCGGUGAAAUGCUUAGAGAUCAUACAGAACACCGAUUGCGAAGGCAGCUUACCAAGCUACUUCUGACGUUGAGGCACGAAAGCGUGGGGAGCAAACAGGAUUAGAUACCCGAGUAGUC